RNAcentral lists this ribosomal RNA (623 nucleotides) under Serratia liquefaciens. RNAcentral describes it as "bacterial SSU rRNA". It matches the Rfam family "Bacterial small subunit ribosomal RNA", at positions 52 to 667 of the family's 1533-position model. Lineage: Bacteria; Pseudomonadati; Pseudomonadota; Gammaproteobacteria; Enterobacterales; Yersiniaceae. The record is from RNAcentral.
CACAUGCAGUCGAGCGGUAGCACAGGGAGCUUGCUCCUGGGUGACGAGCGGCGGACGGGUGAGUAAUGUCUGGGAAACUGCCUGAUGGAGGGGGAUAACUACUGGAAACGGUAGCUAAUACCGCAUAACGUCUACGGACCAAAGUGGGGGACCUUCGGGCCUCAUGCCAUCAGAUGUGCCCAGAUGGGAUUAGCUAGUAGGUGGGGUAAUGGCUCACCUAGGCGACGAUCCCUAGCUGGUCUGAGAGGAUGACCAGCCACACUGGAACUGAGACACGGUCCAGACUCCUACGGGAGGCAGCAGUGGGGAAUAUUGCACAAUGGGCGCAAGCCUGAUGCAGCCAUGCCGCGUGUGUGAAGAAGGCCUUCGGGUUGUAAAGCACUUUCAGCGAGGAGGAAGGGUUCAGUGUUAAUAGCACUGUGCAUUGACGUUACUCGCAGAAAAAGCACCGGCUAACUCCGUGCCAGCAGCCGCGGUAAUACGGAGGGUGCAAGCGUUAAUCGGAAUUACUGGGCGUAAAGCGCACGCAGGCGGUUUGUUAAGUCAGAUGUGAAAUCCCCGCGCUUAACGUGGGAACUGCAUUUGAAACUGGCAAGCUAGAGUCUUGUAGAGGGGGGUAGAAU